AUGGUUAAAAACCUCUCGCACCCGCCAGUCGCUCACACAACCCCCAGCCCCACACGAGGCCAAGGCCCCUCUCUCAGCGGAACUGGUAGCAGAGCUCGACAGUCCCGUGAGGAGACGCAGCCCGAGGGGACGAUGAGGCAUCUGUGGCUGGUGCUGCUGCUGGUUCUGGCGCUGGCCGGGGCUGCCCUGGCUGGGCCCGUCCUGCAGCAGCCGCGGGGCGUGGAGGGUCCCGGCGUGGUGGCAGCGCGUGAUGGGGCAUCAGCCCAGGUGGAUGGAGCCCAAGAGCAGCCGCUGGGAGUGAGAGUGGAAAGGGCCGCAUGGGGACUGAGAAACCGAACCAUAUUCAGCUGGUGUGACCCAUCGAGACCUGGCUGCCUGUCACUAUUUGGCUACCAUAUUGACUUUCACUAAGCUUGUUGCUGCUGGAACCAACCCCUCAAGCUGGGAGCAUUUCAGGCCUGCACGCCCCUGCCUCGGAUCACCAGAGCUGUGUGCGCCAGCCACUCUGAUCCAAACACCCCUUUCCAGGCGUCACAUGCUGCUGAUUCUCCCCUCACUGGUUUUACACCCGUGUAUCCCCAUGACCUCACUGGAGUCACUCCUGAUUUACACCAGUGUGAAUCCGGCCCUAAAAAGCAUGAGCUUGCUGUUGGCUGUGGGGUAUGGAAGCCCCCAGCCCCUCCUGAGCGCUGUGGGCAGAGGCCACGACUGGGCCAUGUUGGUCAUGGGAGGCUCAUUCCCUCUGUGCCGAGCGAUGAACCCGCUUUGCUGAGCCUGGCGCUUCCCAUGUGUUUUGCAUUUAUUCACUUGCAUCAAUAAAAGCAGUAACCUCUGA
Long non-coding RNA from Chelonia mydas (Green sea turtle), 835 nucleotides. RefSeq lists it as uncharacterized. The transcript has 2 exons. Lineage: Eukaryota; Metazoa; Chordata; Testudines; Cheloniidae. The record is from RefSeq and is a predicted model, not a curated record.